This is a long non-coding RNA of Cervus elaphus (red deer), 595 nucleotides long. RefSeq lists it as uncharacterized. The record is from RefSeq and is a predicted model, not a curated record. Lineage: Eukaryota; Metazoa; Chordata; Mammalia; Artiodactyla; Cervidae. The transcript has 3 exons.
AGCACACAUACCAAGAGUCAACGAUACUGAGGAGAAUAACAUUGGUCAUGCCCUUGAGGAGAUAAGAUUUCCUGUGGCAGUGAUUUUGAAAUUACAGGAUUCUUUUCCCAUAUAGGUUAUUACAGAAUAUUGAGUAGAGUUCCUUGUGCUAUACAAUAGGAAGUGUGCUGUGUGCCCGGGAGGUUCUCCAGGACAGCUGUCCUCCAUGUGCUGAUGCUAUGAUCACAAGGAGCCUCCAUGGUGGACGUUUCCUCCAUGAUCACUGAAGGGGAAGAGUCGGGCUGGACAGCAAGAGUGAGCUGGGGCCUGGACUACUGGCCAAAAAUGCUUCUACUCAAGAUGUGACCCAAGCCACUUCUGAUCACAUUUUCCUGCCAAAACAAAUCUUAUGAUUUUGCCUGUCUUCCCAUGUGUCAGGAUACAGAGAGGAAGAGGAUCAGAUAUUGGUAAACAGUAAUAAUGCUCAUCAAUGCAUGAUAAGAUAAACAUCACAGAAAAAAGUCACAAAGAAACAGCUGAGGGCAUGCCAGAGUAGGAAGCAAUCACACUUAGGAUGUUAUGUAAUAAAAGACAGUUCUUCUGUUUCUGUCAAUAA